Molecule: ribosomal RNA, 434 nt
Filed under: uncultured Lachnospiraceae bacterium
Lineage: Bacteria; Bacillati; Bacillota; Clostridia; Lachnospirales; Lachnospiraceae
Description: bacterial SSU rRNA
Rfam family: Bacterial small subunit ribosomal RNA
Source: RNAcentral
ACGGGAGGCAGCAGUGGGGAAUAUUGGACAAUGGGGGGAACCCUGAUCCAGCGACGCCGCGUGAGUGAAGAAGUAUUUCGGUAUGUAAAGCUCUAUCAGCAAGGAAGAAAAUGACGGUACUUGACUAAGAAGCUCCGGCUAAGUACGUGCCAGCAGCCGCGGUAAUACGUAUGGAGCAAGCGUUAUCCGGAUUUACUGGGUGUAAAGGGAGCGUAGACGGUAAAGCAAGUCUGAAGUGAAAUCCCGGGGCUCAACCCCGGAACUGCUUUGGAAACUGUUUAACUAGAGUGCAGGAGAGGUAAGCGGAAUUCCUAGUGUAGCGGUGAAAUGCGUAGAUAUUAGGAGGAAUACCGGUGGCGAAGGCGAUUUACUGGACGACAACUGACGCUGAGACACGAAAGCGUGGGGAGCAAACAGGAUUAGAUACCCUGGUA